AUGGAAAUUUUGGGAAAGAUAUUAUUUGGCGGGCAAUGCUACACGUACAAAGGAUGUUAUAUUCGUAGGUGUAGGAUCAUUGUUAUUUCGCCCAUUGCGCUCUCGCAGCAAAAAGUGAGGUCAACAGUUUUCCUAAAAAAAAUAAAAGAGUCAAAGCAACCGACGACCUCGGCCAGUGGAGAGGAGGGGAACAGGUGGACGUCCAUGGACGCCACGGCGGAUCCCCUGCUGCCCCAGCCGGCAGCCGCCGUGGACCACCUCGGCCGCCCAGUAUCCCGCCUCACCUCCGGCCGGUGGCCCGCCGCGUUCUUCAUCAUCGGCGUGGAGAUCUCCGAGCGGUUCGCCUACACCGGCAUCUCAGGGAACCUCAUCGCCUACCUCACCGGACCGCUAGGGCAGUCCACGGCGUCGGCCGCCGCGACCAUCAACGCCUGGAACGGCGUCGCGCUUCUGCUGCCGCUGCUCGGCGUGGCCGCCGUCGCCGAUUCCUGGCUCGGCCGUUACCGGACCGUAGUCUGUGCCUCUCUGCUCUACAUCCUGGGCCUGGGCAUGCUCACGCUAUCAUCAAUUCUUGCCACACAACUACCAAAUCAAUUUGGAGACCGCAUGGAUUCUGCUCUAUACUCGACUUCGACUGCUCAUUUACCUUUCUUCUACAUCUCCCUGUAUAUGGUGGCCUUUGCUCAAGGUGGGCACAAACCUUGUGUGCAAGCAUUUGGGGCAGACCAAUUUGAUGAGAAGGACCCUGAAGAAUAUGCCUCGAGGAGUUCCUUCUUCAACUGGUGGUAUUUUGGGACUUAUGGAGGCACUCUUGUUACAGUUUCAAUCUUGAAUUACAUUCAAGAUAACAUAAGCUGGCAGUAUGGGUUUGGAAUCCCGUGCGUCGUCAUGUCUCUUUCUCUUGCAGUUUUCUGGCUUGGGACCAGGACUUACCGCUUUUACCCUGUUAGAAGUGAUGGAAGUCUAUUUGGAGAGGUUCGCAGAUACCUUUUAUCAUUAAUUAGAACCUGGCAUGCAUCAUGGUGUUUGAGAUCACCUGAUGAUUCUCACUGCAUGCCAACAUCGACAUCCAGCGAAGCCAAGGAUAAUGCAGAAAUGAUAUGUUUCCCUGAUGAAGCCAAGUCAGUGCUUAAGUUGUUUCCGAUAGGAGCAACCUGCCUGAUCUAUGCAGUUGUUUAUGCCCAGUGGAUGACGAUGUUCACUAAACAAGCAAGUACACUAGAUAGGUGGGUAGGUAGCCUACAUGUACCAGCUGCUUCCCUACAAAGCCUGAUCAGCGUGUCAAUCAUCAUCUCAAUCCCUAUAUAUGACCAGAUACUCGUUCCGCUAGCCAGAAAGUACUCAAAGAACCCCAGUGGUAUCACACCCUUGCAAAGGAUUGGAGCUGGACUAGCCAUCUCUGUGGUCUUGAUGGUUGUCGCGGCCCUUGUGGAGAUGAGAAGGCUCAGGAUAGCCAGAGAAUAUGGCCUAGUGGACAAACCUGAAGCGACCAUUCCGAUGAGCUUUUGGUGGAUGGUACCCCAGUUUGUCCUGGCCGGUCUGGCAGACAUGUUCACAGUGGUCGGCCUGCAAGAAUUCUUCUAUGACCAAGUGCCGGAGGAUCUGCGCAGCAUGGGCCUUGCCUUAUACCUGAGCAUACUCGGGGCCGGGAGCUUCGCCAGUGGCAUUCUGGUGUACGCAAUCGACUGGGUAACCAGCAACGGCGGAGAUAGUUGGUUCUCGGACAAUCUAAACCGCGGUCAUCUCGAUUACUUCUACUGGCUUCUGGCCGUGCUCAGUGUUCUCGGGCUGGCUGCUUUUCUUUACUUUUCACAAGUGUAUGUCCACAAGAAAAAGGGCAUUUCAGCACAAUGA
This 1854-nucleotide ribosomal RNA is filed under the name Triticum aestivum (bread wheat). RNAcentral's name for it is "partial small subunit ribosomal RNA". Lineage: Eukaryota; Viridiplantae; Streptophyta; Magnoliopsida; Poales; Poaceae. The record is from RNAcentral.